GACGAACGCUGGCGGCGUGCCUAAUACAUGCAAGUCGAACGAGACUUUCAUUGGUGGUAACACCUUUGUCUGUCUAGUGGCGAACGGGUGAGUAACACGUGAGAAACCUGCCCUGAAGACGGGGAUAACGGAAGUAAACUUCUGCUAAUACCCGAUACCCCCACCGGAUCACAUGGUCUGGUGAGGAAAUGGAUUCCGCUUCAGGAGGGUCUCGCGGCCUAUCAGCUUGUUGGUGGGGUAAUGGCCCACCAAGGCUUGGACGGGUAGCUGGUCUGAGAGGACGAUCAGCCACACUGGGACUGAGACACGGCCCAGACUCCUACGGGAGGCAGCAGUAAGGAAUAUUGCGCAAUGGGCAAAGCCUGACGCAGCAACGCCGCGUGCGGGAUGAAGGCCCUCGGGUUGUAAACCGCUUUCAGUAGGGAAGAAAAUGACGGUA
This 439-nucleotide ribosomal RNA is filed under the name uncultured bacterium. RNAcentral describes it as "bacterial SSU rRNA". It matches the Rfam family "Bacterial small subunit ribosomal RNA", at positions 28 to 477 of the family's 1533-position model. The record is from RNAcentral.